CCCUUAGAUGUUCUGGGCGGCCCGCGCACUACAAUGGCGUGUGCAGCGAGUGCCGAAGUAGAGUUUUCCGAGGUAUUCUUGCAAUGCUCGUUUUGAUGGGGAUAGACCCUUGCAACUGUUGGUUUUGAACGAGGAAUUCCUUGUAAGCAUGGUUUAUCAUCCGACGCUGAAUGCGUCCCUGCCCUUUGUACACACCGCCCGUCGCUCCUACCGAUGAGUCGUCCGGUGAAGUUCGUAGACCUCGUGAUCGCGGAUCACUGGGGGAAGCAAAAUGAACCUCGCGGUUUAGAGGAAGGAGACGUCGUAACA
RNAcentral lists this ribosomal RNA (309 nucleotides) under uncultured eukaryote. RNAcentral's name for it is "partial 18S ribosomal RNA". It matches the Rfam family "Eukaryotic small subunit ribosomal RNA", at positions 1470 to 1796 of the family's 1831-position model. The record is from RNAcentral.